This 465-nucleotide ribosomal RNA is filed under the name Vreelandella stevensii. Its description in RNAcentral is "partial 16S ribosomal RNA". It matches the Rfam family "Bacterial small subunit ribosomal RNA", at positions 338 to 795 of the family's 1533-position model. Lineage: Bacteria; Pseudomonadati; Pseudomonadota; Gammaproteobacteria; Oceanospirillales; Halomonadaceae. The record is from RNAcentral.
CCUACGGGCGGCUGCAGUGGGGAAUAUUGGACAAUGGGGGGAACCCUGAUCCAGCCAUGCCGCGUGUGUGAAGAAGGCCCUCGGGUUGUAAAGCACUUUCAGUGAGGAAGAACGCCUGGUGGUUAAUACCCAUCAGGAAAGACAUCACUCACAGAAGAAGCACCGGCUAACUCCGUGCCAGCAGCCGCGGUAAUACGGAGGGUGCGAGCGUUAAUCGGAAUUACUGGGCGUAAAGCGCGCGUAGGUGGCUUGAUAAGCCGGUUGUGAAAGCCCCGGGCUCAACCUGGGAACGGCAUCCGGAACUGUCAAGCUAGAGUGUAGGAGAGGAAGGUAGAAUUCCCGGUGUAGCGGUGAAAUGCGUAGAGAUCGGGAGGAAUACCAGUGGCGAAGGCGGCCUUCUGGACUGACACUGACACUGAGGUGCGAAAGCGUGGGUAGCAAACAGGAUUAGAUACCCGGGUAGUC